UGCCGCCGCCGUGGCUCGUCCGAAAGCAUCUGCGGAAGGAGGCCUCCGGGAGGAGCUUCUGCAGGAGGAGGAGAGGCUGGCGGACGUGCCCCUGGACUGCAUCGACCCGGCACUGCUCCGCCCAGCCCUCGUCGUCGACCUCCGUCGCCCCGGGGAUAAUUAAUUUAUGUCAUGGUGAUACCCAAAGAGGCAAUUGAUAAUUGAUGCGAACAAUUCCGGGAAAGAAGAAGUGGUUCGGACGAUGAUUUUAUUUAUAUUGUUCGAAGUCUUAUUUUUUGGAGUUGGAGAAGUCCAGGGACAAAUAAGCCAACCAAGGCAAGCCAUCUUUUGAUCUCUUGCUAUUUAUCCUUCUUGGUGUGCUCAUUGCUCCAUUAUAUACUUGGUUCAUUGUAUCAUGUGUGAUUUUUGGUCCUCUACUCUAUGCAUACUUAUUCCCAAAGUAUGAUGAACCCCUUUUUGAUGCUUUGCAUACUUGCUCCCAAGUAUGUGAACCCCCUUGUUGAUGUUAUGCAUGCUUACCCUAAGCAUGUAUGCCCCCUUGACCAUAUCCAUGUUGUCAUCUUCUUAGUGGUAUGAUGAUUAACAUCAUGACCCCUGUUUGAAUCAUCUUAAUUAUGUUGUCCCUAUACAUGCUUAUCCUAAGUAUGUAUGAUCCUUUUAACACCUCAAUUAUCAUCCCCUUAGUGGUAUGAUGGCUAGCAUCAUGUCAUUGUGACUCUUAGUUCCUUCAUAAAACUAUAGGUUGGGAACCCCCUUGGAAAAAUACCUUGAUGAAAAGAAUUUUUGAAAACCUUGGGUGAGUUGGACUUACCCAAGCGUGUGUUUAUGAAAGGAAAGGAUCUUGGCAAAGAUGGUUGAAAAGAAAAUCUUGUUUUUGAAAACUUUGGCGCCUAAGUAUUCACCCAUGACAAUUAACCCGCGCAACCACAUUACCCUGGGGUGGGACGGGGCUUAGCUCGUAGUUUGUUCUUCUUAACAUGGGACACCGCACAACUAUAUAAGGGUAAGGUUACCCCUGAAUCCGGAUUGUCGUUGGUGGGGACAAUAGUAUAACGGGAGGCCUUCGGGGCUGACCCGUCCGGAAGACACUAUGGGUCUCCUGGCUUGGCGGUGGAGCCACGCUCAAAGUGAGGUGAGCUGCCAUGGUGCCGGGGAGGUACAUACUCCAUAGGGUAGGAUCCCGUGCUAAGACGAAUAGGCGAAGGGCUAUGUCCGAGUUUUUGUCAUGGCAUAGUUGAUAUGCAGGGAUGAUGCCCACAUGAUAAACUCGUGGAUCUUGUGGGGAAAGUGUGCAAACUCUGCAGAGUCAAAUCUAUUCGAAUAGCCGUGUCCGCGGUCAUGGACGGUUGAAAUGGUUGUUGCUUAGCCUGAUGAGUUUUGUUUGAGAAAGUGUUUACCAAAGGAAAAAGGAACUUGUUUUCGGAGUACCGGAAGGGUACUAGAAUGGUUUGGUUGACCAUAUGGAGAUGGUCGGAAAGGAAAUAAACUGGGUUACUCCCUUCCUAGUGUUUUAUCUUGUAGAACUCUUUUGAAGUAUCUUCUUCAACAAAGAUAUAGAGAUGUCAUAGGAUCUUCUUAGUGUCCCCUUCAACUGUGAUGUUGGGAUGCUACAUCCACAAGAGAAACUAAUUCUCUUCUACAUGCUAUUUCCACAAGAGAAAUUAGCUCUUCCCUCUUGUCAUCUAGAUUAGCACUUGUUAUCUUGCACUCUUCCAAAGUACCUUCUUGAUGGUUUGCGAGUACAAUUCCAAAUGUACUCACGGCUUUGUCCCUGGCUAUUUACUUGGUCAGACUUGGAGGAAUUCGACAAAUGAAGAAGGAUUGGACGACGUCUAUGCGAGCUAGGAACGUUCUCCCAGUCAGUUGCCUGUAGGGUUAAGGCAGAUGACUCGGGCUCUACGCUGCUGAUGUGAUUCCGCUACUCUGAUGAUUAAGUUAGGCCCUUCGAGGCUAUUAUGUAAAGAUUGGUCAUGUGACCUUGUUGUAAUUUUCUUAUUCCGUUUUGUAAUGGGUGAUGUAACUAUGAUAUCAGUUCGGUUAUGUGUUCGCGACGCACUGAUCAUGGGAUCGUGAACUGUAUACAUAACGGGAAUUUCGGACAGCUAGUCCGGGGUCCCCACAGAGAUAAUUGCUCGACUUAAGUCUGCACCCGGCUGCAAACACCCGCGCCCAGACUCGGGGGCUACUCCCAUCGGGAGUGCGUGAUACGCACCCAACAGAAUGAGCAGUUGAAGGAA
Lolium perenne is the source of this 2237-nucleotide non-coding RNA. The record is from RefSeq and is a predicted model, not a curated record. NCBI's taxonomy places the organism in Eukaryota, Viridiplantae, Streptophyta, Magnoliopsida, Poales, Poaceae.